GUCCCUAUAUCAUACUUGAAGCAUCCUUCUUUUGUAGAUCUGCUCAAUAGAUCAGAAGAAGAAUUUGGAUUUUGCCACCCAAUGGGCGGCUUGACGAUUCCAUGCCGAGAGGAUGCUUUCAUAAAUCUCACUGCCAGGCUGCACACGUCAUAAAAGAGAACAAAAAAGAAAUGUUCUUGAUCACAGUUUUGUCACCUAUAAUUUUAGGAAGUAGAGUAGGAUACUGUACAGUAACUUCGUUGUUUGAGCAAUGGAAAUUACAUUCUUCUCAUAUGAAAAAUUUCUCUUCAGCUCAUGAAUUUGGCGUUUUUUGCUGAUUACUUCUUUUUCUCUGGGUGCUAUAUCAUCAGUUAAUCUUUUUAUUCCUGCCAGUACUUUAUCACAAACCUUCAAAAUAAUUCACUUAUAACAAAAUCUGACCAAGAACUUCUGAGUUGGGUUGUGAUGCUCAUCGUUCCUACAACAAAAAAGAUUUCCCUUCUUUGCAAAAGCUGCAAUGAAAAAGAGGAGGUAGCAUGUCAAAUGCAAUGUGAAAGAUAUGAUUUCUUGUUAGAUGGAUGUCAAAUGCUUCUUUGAACUUUGUUUUUAGUAUUAUAUUACAAAUGAGGGAAGGGGAUUUGUACUGAAGGAAUCUAGAUUAUUUCUCUAGUCCAGACAAAUGAGGCUCCAAAGGAUGUUUCAAAAAAUUCCGAGCAUAUCAUUUGCUUCAAAACCUUUUUCUUAAGAUUAUUAAUACUAUUGAGGUCAUUUAUUCUUAUGGUUGGAGUGUUACAUUUAUAAGUUAACAUGUUAUCCUAUUGUGGAGGAUAAAUAUUUUAUUCUUCAUAAACCCGAGAAAUACUAGGAAUGAUUUGUCUUGAAGCAACAGCUAUAGAUAAAUGUAUUUCUUUUUCUACAAUGGCAUUUAAUAACAGAAACAUAAAAAUCUACAUGCACAAUAGGAUCAGUGUUGAGAUAUUUAGACAUAAAACUCUGUACCCAAGAAAUUAUCAAGGAAAAAACAAGCGGCAUAGGUCAAGAAAGAGAGUUCAUAAAGAAGUUCUGAUGCUUGUGUUGAGAGAGAUGGAAGAAACGUACAAUUAUGGUCAUGGACUCAUGGUCGCUGAUGAUUUCAGCUUAUUCAUCUGAAAAACAAAGAACGAGCGAAAAGCAGCAAGCAGCAAUUGUCCCAUAUAACUUAUCAGCAGUUGGAGCAAUUUUCUGGAAGGUCUCAUGACUAUGAACAAAUAGUAUGAACUCAUUCUCCAAUUGUAGAAUCACUCAAUCCAAGAUUCAGUUCUUGUAAACUCCACCUGCAUUUUGUUCAAUGAACAGAAUAUGGUUGUCUUAUUUGAAUUUUGACCUUUUUAUAUUGUGAAGGUAGUCUAUCAGUUCAUUUUUAAAAUAUGUACAACAAAUAUCCACUUCUGCAAUUUUGAUAGCAAUGAACAGACGAGUAUCAAAGAACAUGCAAAGGAAACAGGAAAUGAUACCGAAAAUCUAUUGUAUGAUGCUUUGGAAAGAAAUUUACUAACAAAGAAACUCAUCUGAAUUCCUUAAGGCUUGAAAUUGUAUGUAUACACAACAUUCAAGCAGGAAAUAGAAAGAAAACAAGAUAGGAACAUAGAAGAAAGAAUAUGUCAAGAAUUCAUUAACGGUUAUUUUGUCAUGUUCAUCCUUUGAGUGUUUUAAUCGAGAAGCGGGAUCAAUGAAGCAGUCCUUGCAAGGAAUUGUAAGACAUUCUUGUUAAUGAUGGAAACUGAAACCUUCUUCUACUCUGGUUGAGUAAUUGUUAGAAAAAGGUCUAGGAAUGAAAUGGGAACUACAAACAGCUUCGCUUGAAGAUUUCCCAGAUAUACUACAAAAUAACCUCUAGGAACAUCUGAUGCUUCAUGUUAAAACCCAUUAGCAUCUUGACAAUCUAUUUUGCACAAGAAAUCAAGAAUGAUGGUAAACGAAUCCCCAUUCUCAAGUCCAUAUGCAACAGUCGAAAAGCAACAAACGGAUCUCAACUUUGAUCUAGGUCGGUGUCGAUGUAGUUGGAUGUAGAAUUGCGAAAUUUCAGGUAUUAGAAACUCAUCUACGAUCUAUAUUUAUAGAAUUGUGAGGAAAAAUGUUGACUGAGCACUGCUAAUGUGCUUUUAAAAGCGGGCUCCCUAGACAACUUAGAAGACCCACUUACCAUGACUUUGUCAGCUCACAAGAAUUUUCCAUUCCCACUCAUCCUUUCUCUUGGCCCCUUGUGUGUUGGAUAUGUAUGCUCAUAACUAUGCUUGUUCCUGUGGAAUAAUAGAUCAAAACAGAUGGAUUGUAAAAACAAGCCGACAUAUCCUUGUGAUCGGACCUCCUAGCAAGAGGAAAUUGCUUCAUCAUUGGACCCAGCUUCUAGGUAAGGAAAGCGACUUCACACGAACCAAUGCAUUAGAUCAUAUCAUAUCACCAUAUUUCAUCUGAUUCGCAGAUUAGUUAGGUCCACUGGUGGAGCACUUCAUGAGAUUUGGAGAGUAUCACAUGGUAUGUUCCUACUCAUUUGACACAUUUGGUUUUCUUGGCCUCUCUUCACUAGAAAAAGUGGGACCAGUUAGGAAGCAAAUGAAAUUUCAAUGGAUAGAGCAAACCCAUGUGAGCCUUUCAAGAAGUAGUUCCUUCAUAUCUGCUAUAAAUACACAUAAGAACGAAGCCAUUCUCAUCCAACGAGUACUCUAUUUUCUAAAUCAAGUUCCAUAUCAAGCAAGACACCGCUCAAACUCAAUCACUUUUCUCUUGUUUCGAGUAAAUUUUCGAUAUGGGAAUUCGUCUACAAUCGAUUCUUCUCAACGCCAAGCAGAUUUUGAAAAUGCAAGCUAUGUCAGCCAGAAAUCAAUCUGAUGUUCCCAAAGGCCAUAUUGCAGUUUACGUGGGAGAGAUUCAAAGGAAGAGAUUUGUCGUCCCUAUAUCAUACUUGAAGAAUCCUUCUUUUGUAGAUCUGCUCAAUAGAUCAGAAGAAGAAUUUGGAUUUUGCCACCCAAUGGGCGGCUUGACGAUUCCAUGCCGAGAGGAUGCUUUCAUAAAUCUCACUGCCAGGCUGCACACGUCAUGAAAGAGAACAAAAAAGAAAAGAAAUGUUCUUGAUCACAGUUUUGUCGCCUAUAAUUUUAGGAAGUAGUAGGAUAAUACUGUACAGUAACUUCGUUGUUUGAGCAAUGGAAAUUACAUUCUUCUCAUAUGAAAAGUUUUCCUCUUCAGCUCAUGAAUUUUGUUUUUUUGCUGAUUACUUCUUUUUCUCUGGGUGCUAUAUCACCAGUUAACAUUUUUAUUCCUGCCAGUGCUUUAUCACAAACCUUCAAAAUAAUUCACUUAUAACAAAAUCUGACCAAGAACUUCUGAGUUGGGUUGUGAUGCUCAUCGUUCCUACAACAAAAAAGAUUUCCCUUCUUUGCAAAAGCUGCAAUGAAAAAGAGGAGGUAGCAUGUCAAAUGCAAUGUGAAAGAUAUGAUUCCUUGUUAGAUGGAUGUCAAAUGCUUCUUUGAACUUUGUUUUUAGUAUUAUAUUACAAAUAAGGGGAGGGGAUUUGUACUGAAGGAAUCUAGAUUAUUACUCUAGUCCAGACAAAUGAGGCUCCAAAGGAUGUUUCAAAAAAUUCCGAGCAUAUCUUUUGCUUCAAAACCUUUUUCUUAAGAUUAUUAAUACUAUUGAGGUCAUUUAUUCUUAUGGUUGGAGUGUUACAUUUAUAAGUUAACAUGUUAUCCUAUUGUGGAAGAUAAAUAUUUUAUUCUUCAUAAACCCGAGAAAUACUAGAAAUGAUUUGUCUUGAAGCAACAGCUAUAGAUAAAUGUAUUUCUUUUUCUACAAUGACAUUUAAUAACAGAAACAUAAAAAUCUACAUGCACAAUAGGAUCGAUGUUGAGAUAUUUAGACAUAAAGCUCUGUGUCCAAGAAAUUAUCAAGAAGGAAAAAAAAAAGCGGCAUAGGUCAAGAAAGCCAGUUCAUAAAUAAGUUCUGAUGCUCGUGUUGAGAGAGAUGGAAGAAAUGUACAAUUAUGGUCAUGGACUCAUGGUCGCUGAUAAUUUCAGCUUAUUCAUCUGGAAAAACAAACGAACGAAAGAAAGCAGCAAUUGUCGCAUAUAACUUAUCAGCAGUUGGAGCAAUUUUCUUGAAGGUCUCAUAAUGACUGUGACAAAGGGUAUGAACUCAUUCUCCGUUUGUAGUACCACUCAAUCCAAGAUUCAGUUAUUGUAAACUCCACCUGCAUUUUGUUCAAUGAACAGAAUAUGGUUGAUAACUCCACCUGCAAUUUUGAUAGCAAUGAACAGACGAGUAUCAAAGAAUAUGCAAAGGAAACAGGAAAUGAUAUUGAUGAUGCUUUGGCAAGUAAAUAAUAACAAAAAAACUCAUCUGAAUUCCUUAAGGUUUGAAAUUGUAUGUAUACACAACAUUCAAGCAGGAAAUAGAAAGAAAACAAGUUAGGAACUUAGAAGAAAGAAUAUGUCAAGAAUUUAUUAACAGUUAUUUUGUCAUGUUCAUGCUUUGAGUGUUUUAAUCGAGAAGCGGGAUCAAUGAAGCGGUCCUUGCAAGGAAUUGUAAGACAUUCUUGUUAAUGAUGGAAACUGAAACCUUCUUCUACUCUGGUUAAGUAGUUGUUAGAAAAAGUUUUAGGAAUGAAAUAGGAACUACAAACAGCUUCGCUUGAAUAUUUCCCAGAUAUACUACAAAAUAACCUCUAGGAACAUCCGAUGCUUCAUGUUAAAACCCACUAGCAUCUUGACAGUUCAUUGUGCACAAGAAAUCAGAAAUGAUGGUAAACGAAUCCCCAUUGUCAAGUCUAUAUGCAACAGUCUAAAAGCCAUAAACGGAUCUCAACUUUGACCUUGGUCGGUGUCGAUGUAAUUGGAUGUAGAAUUGCGAAAUUUCAGGUAUUUGAAAGUCAUCUACGAUCUGUAUUUAUAGAAUCGUUUGGAAAAAUGUUGACUGAGCACUGCUAAUGGGCAUUUAAAAGCGGGCUCCCCUAGACAACUUAGAAGACCCACUUACCAUGACUUUGUCAGCUCACAAGAAUUUUCCAUUCCCACUCAUCCUUUCUCUUGGCCCCAUGUGUGUUGGAUAUGUUGCCCACAACUGUGCUUGUUCCAGUGGAAUAACACAUCAAAACAGAUGGAUUGUAAAAACAAGCCGACAUAUCCUUGUGAUCGGACCUCCUAGCAAGAGGAAAUUGCUUCAUCAUUGGACCCAGCUUCUAGGUAAGGGAAGCGACUUCACACAAACCGAUGCAUUAGAUCAUAUCAUAUCACCAUAUUUCAUCUGAUUCGCAGAUUUGUUAGGUCCACUGAUGGAGUACUUCAUGAGAUUUGGAGAGUAUCAC
Molecule: long non-coding RNA, 5317 nt
Filed under: Cucumis sativus (cucumber)
Lineage: Eukaryota; Viridiplantae; Streptophyta; Magnoliopsida; Cucurbitales; Cucurbitaceae
Description: long non-coding RNA (CSAT_LNC000646)
Source: RNAcentral